GACGAACGCUGGCGGCGUGCUUAACACAUGCAAGUCGAACGGAAAGGCCCUGCCUUUGUGGGGUGCUCGAGUGGCGAACGGGUGAGUAACACGUGAGUAACCUGCCCUUGACUUUGGGAUAACUUCAGGAAACUGGGGCUAAUACCGGAUAGGAGCUCCUGCUGCAUGGUGGGGGUUGGAAAGUUUCGGCGGUUGGGGAUGGACUCGCGGCUUAUCAGCUUGUUGGUGGGGUAGUGGCUUACCAAGGCUUUGACGGGUAGCCGGCCUGAGAGGGUGACCGGCAACAUUGGGACUGAGAUACGGCCCAGACUCCUACGGGAGGCAGCAGUGGGGAAUAUUGCACAAUGGGCGGAAGCCUGAUGCAGCAACGCCGCGUGCGGGAUGACGGCCUUCGGGUUGUAAACCGCUUUCGCCUGUGACGAAGCGUGAGUGACGGUAAUGGGUAAAGAAGCACCGGCUAACUACGUG
RNAcentral lists this ribosomal RNA (468 nucleotides) under uncultured bacterium. Its description in RNAcentral is "partial 16S ribosomal RNA". It matches the Rfam family "Bacterial small subunit ribosomal RNA", at positions 28 to 507 of the family's 1533-position model. The record is from RNAcentral.